GAUGAACGCUGGCGGCGUGCCUAAUACAUGCAAGUCGAGCGAACAGAUAAGGAGCUUGCUCCUUUGACGUUAGCGGCGGACGGGUGAGUAACACGUGGAUAACCUACCUAUAAGACUGGGAUAACUUCGGGAAACCGGAGCUAAUACCGGAUAACAUAUUGAACCGCAUGGUUCAAUAGUGAAAGGCGGCUUUGCUGUCACUUAUAGAUGGAUCCGCGCCGUAUUAGCUAGUUGGUAAGGUAACGGCUUACCAAGGCAACGAUACGUAGCAGACCUGAGAGGGUGAUCGGCCACACUGGAACUGAGACACGGUCCAGACUCCUACGGGAGGCAGCAGUAGGGAAUCUUCCGCAAUGGGCGAAAGCCUGACGGAGCAACGCCGCGUGAGUGAUGAAGGUCUUCGGAUCGUAAAACUCUGUUAUCAGGGAAGAACAAAUGUGUAAGUAACUGUGCACAUCUUGACGGUACCUGAUCAGAAAGCCACGGCUAACUACGUG
RNAcentral lists this ribosomal RNA (497 nucleotides) under uncultured bacterium. Its description in RNAcentral is "partial 16S ribosomal RNA". It matches the Rfam family "Bacterial small subunit ribosomal RNA", at positions 28 to 507 of the family's 1533-position model. The record is from RNAcentral.